UACGGAGGGUGCGAGCGUUGUCCGGAAUCAUUGGGCGUAAAGGGCGCGUAGGCGGCUUCGCAAGUCGGCCGUGAAAUCUCCCGGCUCAACUGGGAGGGGUCGGGCGAGACUGCGAGGCUCGAGGUGGGCAGAGGGCAGUGGAAUUCCGGGUGUAGUGGUGGAAUGCGUAGAGCUCCGGAGGAGCACCAGUGGCGAAGGCGGCUGCCUGGGCCUGGCCUGACGCUGAGGCGCGAAAGCCAGGGGAGCAAACGGG
Molecule: ribosomal RNA, 253 nt
Filed under: uncultured bacterium
Lineage: Bacteria
Description: partial 16S ribosomal RNA
Rfam family: Bacterial small subunit ribosomal RNA
Source: RNAcentral